GCAGUCGAACGCGUUGGCCCAAUUGAUUGAUGGUGCUUGCACCUGAUUGAUUUUGGUCGCCAACGAGUGGCGGACGGGUGAGUAACACGUAGGUAACCUGCCCAGAAGCGGGGGACAACAUUUGGAAACAGAUGCUAAUACCGCAUAACAGCGUUGUUCGCAUGAACAACGCUUAAAAGAUGGCUUCUCGCUAUCACUUCUGGAUGGACCUGCGGUGCAUUAGCUUGUUGGUGGGGUAACGGCCUACCAAGGCGAUGAUGCAUAGCCGAGUUGAGAGACUGAUCGGCCACAAUGGGACUGAGACACGGCCCAUACUCCUACGGGAGGCAGCAGUAGGGAAUCUUCCACAAUGGGCGCAAGCCUGAUGGAGCAACACCGCGUGAGUGAAGAAGGGUUUCGGCUCGUAAAGCUCUGUUGUUAAAGAAGAACACGUAUGAGAGUAACUGUUCAUACGUUGACGGUAUUUAACCAGAAAGUCACGGCUAACUACGUGCCAGCAGCCGCGGUAAUACGUAGGUGGCAAGCGUUAUCCGGAUUUAUUGGGCGUAAAGAGAGUGCAGGCGGUUUUCUAAGUCUGAUGUGAAAGCCUUCGGCUUAACCGGAGAAGUGCAUCGGAAACUGGAUAACUUGAGUGCAGAAGAGGGUAGUGGAACUCCAUGUGUAGCGGUGGAAUGCGUAGAUAUAUGGAAGAACACCAGUGGCGAAGGCGGCUACCUGGUCUGCAACUGACGCUGAGACUCGAAAGCAUGGGUAGCGAACAGGAUUAGAUACCCUGGUAGUCCAUGCCGUAAACGAUGAGUGCUAGGUGUUGGAGGGUUUCCGCCCUUCAGUGCCGGAGCUAACGCAUUAAGCACUCCGCCUGGGGAGUACGACCGCAAGGUUGAAACUCAAAGGAAUUGACGGGGGCCCGCACAAGCGGUGGAGCAUGUGGUUUAAUUCGAAGCUACGCGAAGAACCUUACCAGGUCUUGACAUCUUGCGCCAACCCUAGAGAUAGGGCGUUUCCUUCGGGAACGCAAUGACAGGUGGUGCAUGGUCGUCGUCAGCUCGUGUCGUGAGAUGUUGGGUUAAGUCCCGCAACGAGCGCAACCCUUGUUACUAGUUGCCAGCAUUAAGUUGGGCACUCUAGUGAGACUGCCGGUGACAAACCGGAGGAAGGUGGGGACGACGUCAGAUCAUCAUGCCCCUUAUGACCUGGGCUACACACGUGCUACAAUGGACGGUACAACGAGUCGCGAACUCGCGAGGGCAAGCAAAUCUCUUAAAACCGUUCUCAGUUCGGACUGCAGGCUGCAACUCGCCUGCACGAAGUCGGAAUCGCUAGUAAUCGCGGAUCAGCAUGCCGCGGUGAAUACGUUCCCGGGCCUUGUACACACCGCCCGUCACACCAUGAGAGUUUGUAACACCCAAAGUCGGUGGGGUAACCUUUUAGGAGCCAGCCG
This 1441-nucleotide ribosomal RNA is filed under the name Limosilactobacillus sp. Its description in RNAcentral is "bacterial SSU rRNA". It matches the Rfam family "Bacterial small subunit ribosomal RNA". Lineage: Bacteria; Bacillati; Bacillota; Bacilli; Lactobacillales; Lactobacillaceae. The record is from RNAcentral.